This 164-nucleotide unclassified non-coding RNA is filed under the name uncultured Helotiales. RNAcentral's name for it is "sequence contains ITS1". The record is from RNAcentral. Lineage: Eukaryota; Fungi; Ascomycota; Leotiomycetes; Helotiales.
CAGAGUUCAUGCCCUUCGGGGUAGACCUCCCACCCUGUUUAAUUACUAUUGUUGCUUUGGCAGGCUGCCCUCACCAUGGGGCGUCCGGGUUCCGCCCGCGUCUCGCCUGCCAGAAGCCCCCUAAUUCUGUGUUCUGUGUCGUCUGAGUACUAUAUAAUAAGUUA